AGAGUUUGAUCAUGGCUCAGGAUGAACGCAGGCGGCGUGCCUAACACAUGCAAGUCGAGCGAUUCUCUUCGGAGAAGAGCGGCGGACGGGUGAGUAACGCGUGGGUAACCUGCCUUGUACACACGGAUAACAUACCGAAAGGUAUGCUAAUACGAGAUAAUAUACUUUUAUCGCAUGGUAGAAGUAUCAAAGCUCCGGCGGUACAGGAUGGACCCGCGUCUGAUUAGCUAGUUGGUAAGGUAACGGCUUACCAAGGCGACGAUCAGUAGCCGACCUGAGAGGGUGAUCGGCCACAUUGGAACUGAGACACGGUCCAAACUCCUACGGGAGGCAGCAGUGGGGAAUAUUGCACAAUGGGCGAAAGUCUGAUGCAGCAACGCCGCGUGAGCGAUGAAGGCCUUCGGGUCGUAAAGCUCUGUCCUCAAGGAAGAUAAUGACGGUACUUGAGGAGGAAGCCCCGGCUAACUACGUGCCAGCAGCCGCGGUAAUACGUAGGGGGCUAGCGUUAUCCGGAAUUACUGGGCGUAAAGGGUGCGUAGGUGGUUUCUUAAGUCAGAGGUGAAAGGCUACGGCUCAACCGUAGUAAGCCUUUGAAACUGGGAAACUUGAGUGCAGGAGAGGAGAGUGGAAUUCCUAGUGUAGCGGUGAAAUGCGUAGAUAUUAGGAGGAACACCAGUUGCGAAGGCGGCUCUCUGGACUGUAACUGACACUGAGGCACGAAAGCGUGGGGAGCAAACAGGAUUAGAUACCCUGGUAGUCCACGCCGUAAACGAUGAGUACUAGCUGUUGGAGGUUACCCCCUUCGGUGGCGCAGCUAACGCAUUAAGUACUCCGCCUGGGAAGUACGCUCGCAAGAGUGAAACUCAAAGGAAUUGACGG
This 879-nucleotide ribosomal RNA is filed under the name uncultured bacterium. RNAcentral's name for it is "bacterial SSU rRNA". It matches the Rfam family "Bacterial small subunit ribosomal RNA", at positions 8 to 916 of the family's 1533-position model. The record is from RNAcentral.